RNAcentral lists this ribosomal RNA (564 nucleotides) under uncultured bacterium. Its description in RNAcentral is "partial 16S ribosomal RNA". It matches the Rfam family "Bacterial small subunit ribosomal RNA", at positions 355 to 1376 of the family's 1533-position model. The record is from RNAcentral.
UUAGGAAUAUUGGACAAUGGGCGCAAGCCUGAUCCAGCCAUGCCGCGUGAGUGAUGAAGGCCUUCGGGUUGUAAAACUCUUUAGCCGAUGAUUAUAAUGACUGUAGUCGGAAAAUAAGCCCCGGCUAACUUCGUGCCAGCAGCCGCGGUAAUACGAAGGGGGCGAGCGUUAUUCGGAAUCACUGGGCGUAAAGCGUGCGUAGGCGGUUUAGUAAGUUAGGAGUGAAAGCCCAGGGCUUAACCUUGGAAUUGCUCUUAAAACUACUAGACUUGAAUCUCGGAGAGGAUAGCGGAAUUUCCAGUGUAGCAGUGAAAUGCGUAGAUAUUGGAAGGAACACCAGUGGCGUAAGCGGCUAUCUGGACGAGUAUUGACGCUGAGGCACGAAAAGCGUGGGGAUCAAACAGGAUUAGAUACCCUGGUAGUCCACGCCGUAAACGAUGUGUGCUUGUCGCUGGGGAGUUCACUCUUCGGUGACGCAGCUAACGCGUUAAGCACACCGCCUGGGGAAGUACGGCCGCAAGGUUAAAAACUCAAAGGAAUUGACGGGGUCAUAGCUGUUUCCUG